AGUUGGGGCGGUCCGUAUUCCAAAGCGAGAGGUGAAAUUCUUAGACCCUCGGAAGACGAACAGCUGCGAAAGCGUUCCGCAAGGAUGUUCCCUUUGAUCAAGAACGAAAGUUGGGGGAUCGAAGACGAUCAGAUACCGUCGUAGUCUCAACUAUAAACUAUACCAGCUAGGGAUCGGCCAACGUUACUUAAUCCGACUUGGUCGGCACCUUAUGAGAAAUCAAAGCAUCUGGGUUCCGGGGGGAGUAUGGUCGCAAGGCUGAAACUUAAAGGAAUUGACGGAAGGGCACCACCAGCCGUGGAGCCUGUGGCUUAAUUUGACUCAACACGGGAAAACUUACCAGGUCCAGACAUA
RNAcentral lists this ribosomal RNA (354 nucleotides) under uncultured marine eukaryote. Its description in RNAcentral is "SSU rRNA". It matches the Rfam family "Eukaryotic small subunit ribosomal RNA", at positions 880 to 1232 of the family's 1831-position model. The record is from RNAcentral.